GCCAGCAGCCGCGGUAAUACGUAGGGCGCGAGCGUUGUCCGGAAUUAUUGGGCGUAAAGAGCUUGUAGGCGGUUUGUCGCGUCUGCUGUGAAAGGCCGGGGCUUAACCCCGUGUAUUGCAGUGGGUACGGGCAGACUAGAGUGCAGUAGGGGAGACUGGAAUUCCUGGUGUAGCGGUGGAAUGCGCAGAUAUCAGGAGGAACACCGAUGGCGAAGGCAGGUCUCUGGGCUGUAACUGACGCUGAGAAGCGAAAGCAUGGGGAGCGAACAGGAUUAGAUACCCUGGUAGUCCAUGCCGUAAACGUUGGGCACUAGGUGUGGGGGACAUUCCACGUUUUCCGCGCCGUAGCUAACGCAUUAAGUGCCCCGCCUGGGGAGUACGGCCGCAAGGCUAAAACUCAAAGAAAUUGACGGGGGCCCGCACAAGCGGCGGAGCAUGCGGAUUAAUUCGAUGCAACGCGAAGAACCUUACCAAGGCU
RNAcentral lists this ribosomal RNA (478 nucleotides) under uncultured bacterium. Its description in RNAcentral is "bacterial SSU rRNA". It matches the Rfam family "Bacterial small subunit ribosomal RNA", at positions 507 to 981 of the family's 1533-position model. The record is from RNAcentral.